GGGGAAUUUUCCGCAAUGGGCGAAAGCCUGACGGAGCAAUACCGCGUGAGGGAGGAAGGCUCUUGGGUCGUAAACCUCUUUUCUCAGGGAAGAACACAAUGACGGUACCUGAGGAAUAAGCAUCGGCUAACUCCGUGCCAGCAGCCGCGGUAAUACGGAGGAUGCAAGCGUUAUCCGGAAUGAUUGGGCGUAAAGCGUCCGCAGGUGGCUGUGUAAGUCUGCUGUUAAAGAGUCUAGCUCAACUAGAUACAAGCAGUGGAAACUACACGGCUAGAGUACGUUCGGGGCAGAGGGAAUUCCUGGUGUAGCGGUGAAAUGCGUAGAGAUCAGGAAGAACACCAGUGGCGAAGGCGCUCUGCUAGGCCGUAACUGACACUGAGGGACGAAAGCUAGGGGAGCGAAUAGGAUUAGGUACCCCAGUAGUCCUAGCCGUAAACGAUGGAUACUAGGCGUGGCUUGUAUCGACCCGAGCCGUGCCGUAGCUAACGCGUUAAGUAUCCCGCCUGGGGAGUACGCCGGCAACGGUGAAACUCAAAGGAAUUGACGGGGGCCCGCACAAGCGGUGGAGUAUGUGGUUUAAUUCGAUGCAACGCGAAGAACCUUACCAAGGCUUGACAUGUCGCGAAUCUUGAUGAAAGUUGAGAGUGCCUUCGGGAGCGCGAACACAGGUGGUGCAUGGCUGCCGUCAGCUCGUGUCAUGAGAUGUUGGGUUAAGUCCCGCAACGAGCGCAACCCUCGUUUUUAGUUGCCAGCAUUAAGUUGGGCACUCUAGAGAGACUGCCGGUGACAAACCGGAGGAAGGUGGGGAUGACGUCAAGUCAGCAUGCCCCUUACGCCUUGGGCUACACACGUACUACAAUGCUCCGGACAGAGGGCAGCAAGCCAGCGAUGGCAAGCAAAUCCCGUAAACCGGAGCUCAGUUCAGAUCGCAGGCUGCAACUCGCCUGCGUGAAGGAGGAAUCGCUAGUAAUUGCAGGUCAGCAUACUGCAGUGAAUUCGUUCCCGGGCCUUGUACACACCGCCCGUCACACCAUGGAUGCUGGUAGUGCCCGAAGUCAUUACUCCAACCUUUCGGGGAGGAGGAUGCCUAAGGCAAGACUGGUGACUGGGGU
This 1112-nucleotide ribosomal RNA is filed under the name Nostoc cf. lichenoides JT1-VF7. RNAcentral describes it as "bacterial SSU rRNA". It matches the Rfam family "Bacterial small subunit ribosomal RNA", at positions 356 to 1481 of the family's 1533-position model. The record is from RNAcentral. Lineage: Bacteria; Bacillati; Cyanobacteriota; Cyanophyceae; Nostocales; Nostocaceae.